GCCCGUAUAGCUCAGUGGUAGAGCGCAUCACUCGUAUCAAUUUGCGUCAUGAUGAGGUCCGCGGUUCAAUCCCGCGUGGGGGCA
This is a non-coding RNA of Cladorrhinum sp. PSN259, 84 nucleotides long. The record is from the annotation of a GenBank genome assembly. NCBI's taxonomy places the organism in Eukaryota, Fungi, Ascomycota, Sordariomycetes, Sordariales, Podosporaceae.